RNAcentral lists this long non-coding RNA (2264 nucleotides) under Canis lupus familiaris (dog). RNAcentral describes it as "lncRNA (ENSCAFG00000052139.1, ENSCAFG00805023904.1)". Lineage: Eukaryota; Metazoa; Chordata; Mammalia; Carnivora; Canidae. The record is from RNAcentral.
CCCUGGGAUCAUGACUUGCAUUGAAGGUAGACAGUUAAUCUAUUGAGCCACCCAAGCACCCCAAAUUCCAGCUAGUUAACGUAUAGUAUAGCAUUAGUUUCAGGUGUACAGUCUAGUGAUUCAUCACUUACAUAUGACACACACUGCUCAUCACAAAUACCCUCCUUAACCUUCACCUAUUUAACCCAUACCUCACCCACCUCCCUUCCAGUAACCUUCAGUUUUUUAAGUGUCUGUUUCUUGUUAGCCUAUUUUCCCCCUCUAUGUUCAUCUGUGGUUUUUUUUUUCCUUUAAAUUCCACAUACAAGUGAACUCCUAUGGUAUUUGUCUUUCUCUGACUGACUUAUUACACUUAGCACAGCACAUGAGUUGAGAAUUGGACUGGGCUGGAUAAAGUCUGAGUCUACCAUACUGGUUGUGAGAGCAUAGCUUGGUUAUUUCAGUCCAUACUGAGCUUCAGUUUGCCAUUUGUAAAAUGCUAUAAAGUUCAUCUAACUCUUAGAACACUUGUGAGUGGGAAAUGAGGUAGUUUAGAUUAGUCUAGUCCCUGUGACGUAGCUUGUUACUCAGUUGUUAGUUAGUACUACCUCAACUAUAGUUCUCAAGGAUGUCUUCCCCUGUUCAGUGCUUUGGCUUAUUAGGUUCUCACUAAAUGCAGACUGAACACGCACCAGCUUUAUUUGUUCAUCCCACUGGGACUUAGGCAACUAUGUUUUCCUAUUCAGUGUACUUUAUUCCCAGGGGUUUGGCAGACAAUAGGUGUUCCCUGAAUUCUUGCUGAUCCAACUCCUUAAGCAUCUUGUGUCUAUAUUCACCUGGAAAAUUGUUCUAGACUUCUCUAAAGGGAUAUAUUCAGCUGCCAGUCACUUUCACUUAAACUAAAGUCAUAAAUAUGUAGAAAGAGAAUGUACACAUAGAUUCUGGAAAGAGUGAGCAUUGUGGAUUCCCUGAACACUCUCUGGGAUGCAUGACCAUGUUUUUGCUUGUUUAGUGAAAAAAUAUAACCACUGGAAGAUGCUUAUGUGUCUGUACUCUGUUGUUUGGGUAUUGAGAAAAUCUUACAUCAUACAACAUGUGAGUGAAUCUAAUGCUUGCAGAAAGCAGAGUCUCAUGGCCUUGCCUGAGCCAAGCACAGCCUGGGCUGACUUUGUCUCCAUUGUCUCUCCAUCACGUCCUUCUCCUCAAGAGUCACUUUUAGUAGACGUGGUAAACCAUGCCAAAGCAUAUGGGUGUACGAAGAGGUGGGGGGCAGGUGCUCUGUUUGGCAUCUGAACCUGCCAAAUAGGCUACACUUUGCAUUUCUGGCUCUCUUAUCCAUCCAAUUUCCAACUGUAAGAGCUGUGCAGGUUUAGGUUUUCAUCAAAGCCACAGGUACAUUGUUUUUCUGAAUUUCCAUCACUGCUACUUGAAUACAUUUUUUUUUUGGAUUCCUAUAAAAUUGAUUCCAGUGUUUAACAUCUAUUCAGACCAGAGAUUGAAUUACUCUCCUUAGACUCUGUGACUGUGUACAUAAAAAUAAUUUAUUUUCAAUACAACCUUAGAUUCUAGAUUUCUGAUUGAUUAUUCUUUGUUGUGAACCACCCCAGGAGUCAAGCCAUUUUGCCUUGAAAUAAGUCAACCUAGAUUAAUGGAGUUCUAAUCUGAAGAUAAAAGAAGUUGGUCCCCAAAUUUUCACUCACUUCCAUACACACAAAUAAUAUGACAAAUACCCACCAUUUGCUUCAACGUGGAUGGAACUGGAGGGUAUUAUGCUGAGUGAAGUAAGUCAGUCGGAGAAGGACAAACAUUAUAUGUUCUCAUUCAUGUGGGGAGUAUAAAUAAUAGUGAAAGGGAAUAUAAGGGAAGGGAGAAGAAAUGUGUGGGAAAUAUCAGAAAGGGAGACAGAACGUAAAGACUGCUAACUCUGGGAAACGAACUAGGGGUGGUAGAAGGGGAGGAGGGCGGGGGGUGGGAGUGAAUGGGUGACGGGCACUGGGGGUUAUUCUGUAUGUUAGUAAAUUGAACACCAAUAAAAAAUAAAUUAAAAAAAAUAAAAUAAAAAAUAAAAUAAAAACAACUUUAGUUCCAGCUUUUAGCAACGUAAUGCUACCAUGUAAACACUUGUCUCUUACUCAUUCAGGAGAGCAUUGGCUGCUCAUUUGCAUCUAGUUUGUUUUAAAUAUGUUGAUUACCUUACUGUGAUUCUUCUUAUCCCAGAUGGGAAGGGCUUUCUGUUUCAUUCCUAGUAAAAUAAUUUUGUGUAUAAAAAAAAAAAAAAAAAAAAA